This 396-nucleotide ribosomal RNA is filed under the name uncultured bacterium. Its description in RNAcentral is "bacterial SSU rRNA". It matches the Rfam family "Bacterial small subunit ribosomal RNA", at positions 389 to 798 of the family's 1533-position model. The record is from RNAcentral.
GCUCAACGCCGCGUGAGGGAUGAAGGCCUCGGGUUGUAAACCUCUUUUAGUUGGGAAGAAGCGAAAGUGACGGUACCAACAGAAAAAGCACCGGCUAACUACGUGCCAGCAGCCGCGGUAAUACGUAGGGUGCAAGCGUUGUCCGGAAUUAUUGGGCGUAAAGAGCUCGUAGGCGGUUUGUCGCGUCUGCUGUGAAAAUCCGAGGCUCAACCUCGGACCUGCAGUGGGUACGGGCAAACUAGAGUGCGGUAGGGGAGAAGGGAAUUCCUGGUGUAGCGGUGGAAUGCGCAGAUAUCAGGAGGAACACCGAUGGCGAAGGCACUUCUCUGGGCCGUAACUGACGCUGAGGAGCGAAAGCGUGGGGAGCGAACAGGAUUAGAUACCCUGGUAGUCCAC